AAGGCAUUUGUUUCUCUCUUUUUCACUUCUUGCUGAGAGUCAAGCUCUUUGUCACUGUCAGUAUCUCAUGAUUGACCUCUGUCCCUUCGGGCAAGGGAUGGUUUUCCUUUACUCUGCUUGGAAGUGGGUUUUUCCCUCCUUACCUGCGGGCAAGGUUUUAUGGAUAAAUAAGGUUGUUUCCUUUUUUGGUUGCAAAUCUGUGCACUCAUAGUAAUGGAUUUGGGUUUGGAUCUGCUUUGUAGUGAUUUUGAUUAAGCUCUCCUUUGUGUUGGAUUGUGCUUUUCCUCUGAAGAUGGGUCUUCAACUGUUUGGGCAUGGAGGAAGAGGCACCUUGAGAGUAAAAGAGCUAAGCCUAUUCUGAGGCUUCCCCCUCUGGCGAAAAGAGACUGAAAUGCCUCUGAGCUCUGUCUCUUCUUCUACUAGUCUCCCUCCAUCAACCAUUCUGGAUGAAGCUACGACGAAGGCAUGGUUGCAACAUGGAUCCUAAGGUUGCUAAGGGUCUACAGGAUUGAGAAACAAACUGACUCAAUUAGGGUUUGUUUUUGUUUGUUGGGUUGGGUUUGGAUUAGUUUGAUUGACUUAGCUAAAUUGGGUUUUGUUUAUGUAAGCCAUGAGCUAUUUGAUUGAACUUUAAGGCCAUAUUUCAAACACUUUGUGCUGGGUUGUUUAAGGUUCUUUUAGUAAUGAGAAUCCUUUUUAUCUUUU
Molecule: unclassified non-coding RNA, 705 nt
Filed under: Hevea brasiliensis (rubber tree)
Lineage: Eukaryota; Viridiplantae; Streptophyta; Magnoliopsida; Malpighiales; Euphorbiaceae
Source: RNAcentral